UACGGAGGGUGCAAGCGUUGUUCGGAAUUACUGGGCGUAAAGCGUGCGCAGGCGGUUUUGUAAGUCUGAUGUGAAAUCCCCGGGCUCAACCUGGGAAUUGCAUUGGAGACUGCAAAGCUAGAAUCUGGCAGAGGGGGGUAGAAUUCCACGUGUAGCAGUGAAAUGCGUAGAGAUGUGGAGGAACACCGAUGGCGAAGGCAGCCCCCUGGGUCAAGAUUGACGCUCAUGCACGAAAGCGUGGGGAGCAAACAGG
RNAcentral lists this ribosomal RNA (253 nucleotides) under uncultured bacterium. Its description in RNAcentral is "partial 16S ribosomal RNA". It matches the Rfam family "Bacterial small subunit ribosomal RNA", at positions 524 to 776 of the family's 1533-position model. The record is from RNAcentral.